This 251-nucleotide ribosomal RNA is filed under the name uncultured prokaryote. RNAcentral's name for it is "partial 16S ribosomal RNA". It matches the Rfam family "Bacterial small subunit ribosomal RNA", at positions 524 to 774 of the family's 1533-position model. The record is from RNAcentral.
UACGGAGGAUGCGAGCGUUAUCCGGAUUUAUUGGGUUUAAAGGGUGCGUAGGCGGCCGAGUAAGUCAGCGGUGAAAUUUUGCAGCUUAACUGUAACAGUGCCGUUGAUACUGCAUGGCUAGGAUUUGGUUGCUGUGGGUGGAAUGUGUGGUGUAGCGGUGAAAUGCUUAGAUAUCACACAGAAUAUCGAUUGCGAAGGCAGCUCACAAAGCCAAGAUUGACGCUGAGGCACGAAAGUGUGGGGAUCAAACA